AUCCCAUCCAAGCCAGAUCUAAAGCUCUCUUUGUGCUCCUUAUCAGGUGACACGUUGCAUAGAGGGCUCUCUCUAACAAUGUAUGAUCCACACCUACAGAAGUAAAAGAGGAGGGAACAUACCCAAGAAGAUAAUCUGGAUAUCUCCAUCUCUCAUAAGUUCUUUCACUCUCUUCUCUCCUUUGUAAAAAUAGAUCUCUCAAUGCUGUGAAGAUCAAGAAACUGGGAAAGCAAUAUGACAAGCUGAUUUCCUACAUCCCUGGAAUGGAGCUAAAAUCGCUAGACAUUCUGCUCUUCAUGCACGAUGGAGAAUUCGAGAAAGUCGGGGAAGAACAAUCACAGGCUCCAGUGCUGCAAAUAUCAAGAAUCCAAUGUGACAUUCGAGGUGAGCAUCUUGUUCUUCACUUUGCAUCAUCUUCUAGUCUGAUUUUCUCUCUGUGAAGUCAAACCACACAGCAUCAAAGAGCUACUUUAUGCGUCCUCCAAACUGAAUCAGCAAACCAAGUCUAUGCAACUGGUAUGAGUUUGUCUGGGCCUUCAGUUUUUUACUCUUUCCCAUCCUAUGGCAGUUGUCAAGUUAGUGGAGCCGCCAAGAGAGUGAAGCAAAAGCAACGCACUUCCCAAAGUAGCCCAGC
RNAcentral lists this long non-coding RNA (634 nucleotides) under Selaginella moellendorffii. RNAcentral's name for it is "long non-coding RNA (SMOE_LNC001738)". The record is from RNAcentral. Lineage: Eukaryota; Viridiplantae; Streptophyta; Lycopodiopsida; Selaginellales; Selaginellaceae.